Symphalangus syndactylus (siamang) is the source of this 315-nucleotide long non-coding RNA. RefSeq lists it as uncharacterized. Lineage: Eukaryota; Metazoa; Chordata; Mammalia; Primates; Hylobatidae. The record is from RefSeq and is a predicted model, not a curated record.
AUAAAAGUGAAGACUUCCUCUGUGAAGACCCAGCUCUUUCUUUGGCUCCUUUUUUGAAUCCAUCUUUGCUCUGCUCUCCUCUGCUGCCCAGGCUGGAGUGCAGUGGUGUGAUCCUGGCUUACUGCAACCUUGUUCUCCUGGGCUCAGGCGUUACUCCCACCUCAACUGCCCGAGUAGCUGGGACCACAGACGCUCAUUCCAGAGGGGUCCUGCCCCAUACCCAAGAGGAAGGAAUGCUACUCAGAGAGGCCAAGAAGAAUCUGCAUAGACAAGCCUUGUGUGUUCCCCACUCAGUCUAUCACAAUUAGAUUCAUC